This is a long non-coding RNA of Hirundo rustica (Barn swallow), 4171 nucleotides long. RefSeq lists it as uncharacterized. The record is from RefSeq and is a predicted model, not a curated record. Lineage: Eukaryota; Metazoa; Chordata; Aves; Passeriformes; Hirundinidae. The transcript is spliced from 8 exons.
GAACGCGUGAGGCCAAACGAGGAACAAUCCCCCGGGUUGUUGGCUGAGCCGACGGGCUCCCGUCGCCGGGUCUGUCGCCGCGUGAGCGAACGCGCGGAUUACCCCGUUAGGAGGAAAUGGGCGAUGAUGGGGCCAUAAACUCGCCCGCUGUGUAAUCACAAUUGAUUUGCAAUUGACCGAGCGCCGCUCCCGACCCCGGGUCGCACGGGACUGGGAAGCUCCCGGGGGCCGCGCUCGGACUGCGGCAUCGGCCCCGCUGUUACACGCGCCCUGCUGUUCCUGACCGAAACCAGAACUUUCCCAAAAGUAGCAGGUGGUUAUUCCAGCGCUAAUUUAGUUAAUACAGUUGUGAGAAGUGUUACGAGAUCGAACAAUGCCCGGUGAAGAACACGUCUGGCACAGGACUCAGUGACUGAUAGAGGUUUAAAAAGUCCCCAGUCCUGGAUGCGAUGCCCCAUUUUAAGAAGCGAUUCUUUUGCUGGUGGCUGCUUGAAGCGCACCUUAUUUAAAAAUCCCUACAGAAUGUAAAACUGAGUGAGUCUAGUCAGGGAAGCCGGGCGAGUCUGUAAAUUACCGCUCUGUCAGGAUUCCUCUUGCCUCUUACAAAGUACCUUUUUAUGCUGAACUUAAACUCUGCGCUGCAGAGACAGCAGAUGUGAGGCGAUGGCUUCCAAAAGCAACACAGAUGCUGUAAAAUUUCCAUUGCUAUAUUUCAGCGAGGAAGCUCAGGAGACAUGCUGAACGCUGCAGUUUAGAAUUACACUAUAACUCUCCUAGAAAUAAGAGAAUACCAAGUUUCUCAACAGUACAUUUGGCUCCAUUUUUGCUGUCAUUCAUAUGCUCUUGUUUUCUUACAGCGAGAAAAAGAGAGGCAGCACAAAGAUACUGUGUGUCUUGAAGCUGUUCAGUAAUGACAGAACUGGUAUAUAGAACAGCGCAGCUGUGAGGAGGCUGCUUUGCUUUAUGUGACUGAAAAGCAGCCUGGUUAGCUCAAGACUGUGGAAUCAGAGCCCAUUGUGUGUUCCUCAUACUUGGAGACUUCCCUGAAGUCCCUAGAAGUCCUGUGAUGAAGGAAUCAAGUCUUUAAAAUGGUUUGGCGCUGGCCCUUCUAACAUAGCUUAAUUCUUCUGUGCAUCUGAGGCUUUGCAUUUGGAUCCCACCAAACCAGGAAACACAACGUUCUUUGACAGAAUUCAGAGGACUGGAAGACUUUGUCUGAAAACUAAAACUCCUGGAUUUGGAAAAAUAUUGCUGCAGUCCUCCUCCGACGUUGCAACCUGGAUUCCUGCUGGCCCUGCUCUGCAAGGCUGAGGCUGCCUUCCACCUUUGACAUUUUGCCAUGAACUUUCCUCUUUGAAAGGAAUGCUGGAAAUGGGGAAUCCCUCAAAGUGAUCUGUCAUCAGGAUUCUCAUUUAAAUGAUACCUUUCUGAACCUCAUGGUGUGUUUGAUGUUCACUGGCAGAGGUCAUGUGAAGCUGCCUGUCCCUCUCCAGGAGCAGAAAGGAGAUCACAGUGGCUUCAGUCCUCAAACUGACUCCCAUGUAGUGUAAGCUGAGGCCUAACUCUGGACUUACUCUUUUCCUGUGGUUGCAUCCAUAGAAAAUUGGUCUGUGUUAAUGGCAGCAGAUUGUAUAUUUUCUUGUCCUUGGAUGGUUUGACAGCAGGUUGGGCCAAAUGCAUCUUUGCUUUUAUGACCAAGCUUACAGGAAGUGGUGGAGAUGUGAGUUUGGUUUGACUUCUGCACAAUUAUAUCUGACUUUCUUCUGCUUUUUGCUCUGAUUUCUGGUGGAGUAUUCUGGCCCCUGUGUUAUUUCCCCCCUGCCUGCCCAUGGUCUUCCUGAGACCUGCUGGCAAAGGGAGGUUUUCACAGCCUGAAGUGUUGAUUCUGAGAAGUGUGAAGGAAACAGAACCGUGCUGGAUGAUGUGACUCACCUUGGAGAAGUUGAUGUUUUCCGGCUGAGGGAAAGUGUAAAGUUUCAGCUUUGCUAGUCCAGAUGUUUUAAUGGAUUUUGCUGCAGUAAGAGAAACCCUGGUCUGCAUGUUUUAUUCAGUCCUGAAUAGGAGAAUAACAGGUUACAUACUAACAUAAAUGUUUAAUGAUUUAUGAUUAAAAGAAUUAAAUUAGAUAGUGAGCAAAAUACUAGGUUAAUUGACUACGGAGUCCUAAGUUCCCCAAAACGUGGCAUUCCAGCCAAAUAUGGCUGAAAUAUCAGCUGUCAUAUGAUGAAUAUUUUAAAGAAGAUUCUAUUAUACACCUAGGGGUUCAUUCGCUUCAGUAAUGAGGACAGUUACCUCUAGGGAAAGGAAGCUAUAUUAUGCUUGCCACUUAACCAGGGGCUGGUUUGACAGGCAUCAGCUCAGAAUAUAUGUGUAUAUAUAAGGAAUCACAGCAGCUUGUCUCAAGUUUACUGAGCAGGAAAUAUUGUGCUAUACAAUACUUUGGGUUUCUAUCUAUGGAUUUGUGGAUGGCACUGAGUGGGAUUCAGACUAUUUUUAUUCCUGAGUCUGAUUGUUGAGGUGGAAUCCAUCACCUACUAAAUAUUAAAUCAGCAGGUUUUUUAAAGAGAAACACUGUCUCUGCUGACUUGAAUAUCCUUAUGUGGCCCAGAGGAAAAGAGAAACAAAGACAAGAUGAGAAAAGUAUCGUCUUUGGCAUUCUUCUUAAUAUUAAUGAUUUCUCUAGUUUUCAAACUGUUGAAGGCAAAAAGUGAGAUAGUAGAACUUUCACAUGGGUAAGAAAUGACCCAGGUGAAAAAAAAGCAUACAUUAUAAAAACUGCAGUGAAGCUUCUGGAGUUGAAUUAUUUGUUGGAAGAGAUGGUGAAAAGGUCUCAACAGAUUAUUUUUUAAGCAAGUUUUGUUUAAUUGUUUCCAAACUAACAUGGGUAGCAAUUACUAGGGUUGUGUCAAUUCCAAAUUACUUGAACAAUUUCAUGUAGAUGCGAUUUAUGUCAGAUUUUACUCUGGGUGUGGUUUCUGAAACCUAGUGUUUAUAAAUACUGAAGUUUUGAACGAACUACCCAACUUACGUGUUAUUGUUCAUCUUAGCAGACUGACUGGAAUUGUAAAUAGUUCCUUCAUGCUUUUCUUUUUAAAGUUGCACUUCAUAGACAAUAUCCAAAGACAACUGUGAGGUGUCUGAAUGAGUAGUUCUAGUGUACCCAUGGUUGCCUAUGUGAACAUUCAUCAUGCACCUCUGUACAAGUAAAAGGCCAUCUCUGUCACUCUUAAAGGAUGCUCUAAGACUUUUAAGGAUUCUUUAGGAUUUAAAAAAAAUUCCUUCUCUGAUAAUGAGCAGGUUGGUGAAAUAACAAAAGCAUGACAAAUGAUGCCUUUUUUUUUUUUGGUUUUACGUUUUGCAAAAUAGUCGCAUUUCAGUUCCAGAUAUCAAAAUGAAUAAUUGCUACACCAAUCUUCUAAAUGUGGUGAAGAUUCUUACAAAGUUUCUGCUUGGUGACUGCUAAGAUAGAAGCUCCCUUCUUAUUUCACUUUUUUAAGGCCUCAGAUGACAUAUCAAAAUGUCCUGGAUGCCCUGACAUAUUAACAGCACAUCCCAUACAAUCCUAUGGUAGGAGAAUUCCAGUCCUUUGCUUAAUUUUAUGUAAUUCUUCUUGUUUAGACAGAUAAAUUUUCUAGGUUUCAGAAUGCAAGUGAUUUAUUCUGAUGCUGUUUGUUAGAAAAACUGACCCUUCAAUGCAAAAAAAGGACAAAAUGAAAGUACUCAUUAAGAAGAUGCCUUUGCAUAUUUCACAUGCAUUUUUUAAGAUCAUGUUACAUAUUCGUCAGUUGUAGUCACAGAGUUGUUGCCAUAAAUGCUCUGUGUAUAUGUGGAUAUCUGAGCUGCUUUGUAGGAGUGGGGGAAGUGAGGAAAAAGGGAAAAAUUUAAUAUGAAAAUCAGGAGGGAAUAAGUGAGAUGAGGAGUUAGGAGGGACUCUGAGCUAUAUUGUUCCCAUUCUAUACAUCUGACUCUUAAGAGAUUGUAGGAUUUCCUUUCCUUCCUGAACUUGAUGCUCACUGGGUGUUUAGGUCAAAUUCUGGUGUUAUUUAAAACCCAACAGUUACUACUUUUCAAGUUGAGAUAAGGGUGGAAUAAUCUUUAAUUGUCCAGGGACCACAAACUUCUUUGUUAUCCUAUCAAUUCAUUCAUUGUCUACAUUGGCUUUAAUUGUGUG